This 868-nucleotide ribosomal RNA is filed under the name Jutarus sp. GD117 1. Its description in RNAcentral is "partial large subunit ribosomal RNA". It matches the Rfam family "Eukaryotic large subunit ribosomal RNA", at positions 366 to 944 of the family's 3401-position model. The record is from RNAcentral. Lineage: Eukaryota; Metazoa; Arthropoda; Arachnida; Trombidiformes; Eriophyidae.
AAAUAGAACUUUGCAGAGAGAGUUAACAGGGCGUGAAACCGUUAAUUGGCAAACGAAUCGGAGCCACGAAGUCGUUUCGUUGACAGUCGAGCUAGGUUCAGUUUGGGAACUAAAAAUUCUCAGGUGUAUUCCUGGUUUGGCCAUCAUUGUAAGCGUACACUGCAACCAGUUAGACAGUUGGUGAUGGAACCAGUUGCUCGCGUUAGUAGUAGCGUGGUAUCUUUCGGGGUACUAUGUUGCUGGAUGCGUUGCAAGUGAGCUAUCACCAAGGACUGACUGGCAAAAUGAUAAUCACUCCGUUGAGUGUUAACAUAAAAUGCGGUUCAUUGUAUAUGGGUCUACUUGCUUGACCAUUUAGUUUAAGCUCAACAUUUUUGAAUUUGGACUUGCUAGCUAUCAGUGGGGCAACUCCUGAUGCUAGUAUAGCUUCCACCUAAUCGGGUGUUGACUUGGCUAGAUGUUGCUCGAGUAAGAAUCGUUUGGGCUCAUAUAUAAGUGGAUUUGCCAUUAUUGGCAGUGAGUAGGUCGGCUUUCCGAACGACCCGUCUUGAAACACGGACCAAGGAGUCUAAUUAGGCAUCGAGUCGAUCGGUCUUGAAUAGGCCAGACUUGGUGGGUUCACCUAAUUGAAGGCGUAGAGACAUGUGAUCGUUGGGUAAUAUCAUAUUCAACGCGCAACAUGUGCCUGUUUGUAUAUCAAUGUGCAAUAUGAUAAGCGGAGCAAAGAGAUGCCUGAUUGGUACCCGAAAGAUGGUGAUGCCUGGGCAAAUUGAAGCCAGAGGAAACUCUGGUGGAGGAUUGUAGCGAUUCUGACGUGCAAAUCGAUCGUCAGACCUGGGUAUAGGGGCGAAAGACUAAUCGAACCAUC